This 265-nucleotide long non-coding RNA is filed under the name Citrus sinensis (sweet orange). Its description in RNAcentral is "long non-coding RNA (CSIN_LNC000200)". Lineage: Eukaryota; Viridiplantae; Streptophyta; Magnoliopsida; Sapindales; Rutaceae. The record is from RNAcentral.
GUGAAAGGCACAAAGUUUCAAAAAUUCCUCUUGAUUUUGCAAAUGUGUUUGAUGAUAAAAAGGUCAAUUGGUUGUGAUUCUUUGGUCAAAAGUCAAAACUUUCGCCUCUGAUUCCACAAACGAUUGCAAUUCAAAUUAGGGAUGAAAAAAAUGUCCACAAAGAUUAAACAAAAAAGAAAAAAAAAACAGUCGUUCACUCUAAAUUUAUUUUACUAUAAAAAAUUAUAAAAAUUUAAAUUUAUUUGAUAUUUUACUCAUUAUUCAU